GAAGCUGACCAGACAGUCGCCGCUUCGUCGUCGUCCUUUCGGGGAGACGGGCGGAGGGGAGGAAAGUCCGGGCUCCAUAGGGCAGGGUGCCAGGUAACGCCUGGGGGGGGAAACCCACGACCAGUGCAACAGAGAGCAAACCGCCGAUGGCCCACGUAAGUGGGAUCAGGUAAGGGUGAAAGGGUGCGGUAAGAGCGCACCGCGCGGCUGGUAACAGUCCGUGGCACGGUAAACUCCACCCGGAGCAAGGCCAAAUAGGGGUUCAUAAGGUACGGCCCGUACUGAACCCGGGUAGGCUGCUUGAGCCAGUGAGCGAUUGCUGGCCUAGAUGAAUGACUGUCCACGACAGAACCCGGCUUAUCGGUCAGUUUCA
Molecule: RNase P RNA, 373 nt
Filed under: Salmonella enterica subsp. enterica serovar Paratyphi B
Lineage: Bacteria; Pseudomonadati; Pseudomonadota; Gammaproteobacteria; Enterobacterales; Enterobacteriaceae
Also listed under: 1 other name
Description: partial RNase P RNA component class A
Rfam family: Bacterial RNase P class A
About the family: Ribonuclease P (RNase P) is a ubiquitous endoribonuclease, found in archaea, bacteria and eukarya as well as chloroplasts and mitochondria.
Source: RNAcentral